This 503-nucleotide ribosomal RNA is filed under the name uncultured bacterium. RNAcentral describes it as "partial 16S ribosomal RNA". It matches the Rfam family "Bacterial small subunit ribosomal RNA", at positions 29 to 523 of the family's 1533-position model. The record is from RNAcentral.
AACGAACGCUGGCGGCACGUUUUAAGCAUGCAAGUCGAAUGGCAGUAGGGGCAACCCCAUGAGAAUGGCGAACGGGUGAGUAACACGCAGGUGAUCUGCCUGACGGAUGGGGCUAGCUUGUGGAAACACAGGGUAAUACCGAAUGAGAUGACGAGACUUGGGUCUUGUCAGUAAAGGUGCUACGGCACCGCCGACAGAGGAGCCUGCGGCUGAUUAGCUAGUUGGUAGGGUAAAGGCCUACCAAGGCGACGAGCAGUAGCCGGCCUGGGAGGGUGUACGGCCACACUGGAACGGAGACACGGUCCAGACUCCUACGGGAGGCAGCAGCUAAGAAUCUUCCGGAAUGGGCGAAAGCCUGACGGAGCGAUGCCGCGUGAUCGAUGAAGGUCGAGAGAUUGUAAAGAUCUUUUCUACAUGAGGAAUAACUCUGGGAGGGAAUGCCUGGAUGAUGACGUUAGUGUAGGAAUAAGCCCCGGCUAAUUACGUGCCAGCCGCCGCCGUAA